GACGAACGCUGGCGGCGUGCUUAACACAUGCAAGUCGAACGGAAAGGCCCUUCGGGGUACUCGAGUGGCGAACGGGUGAGUAACACGUGGGUGAUCUGCCCUGCACUUUGGGAUAAGCCUGGGAAACUGGGUCUAAUACCGAAUAGGACCACGCGCUUCAUGGUGUGUGGUGGAAAGCUUUUGCGGUGUGGGAUGGGCCCGCGGCCUAUCAGCUUGUUGGUGGGGUAAUGGCCUACCAAGGCGACGACGGGUAGCCGGCCUGAGAGGGUGACCGGCCACACUGGGACUGAGAUACGGCCCAGACUCCUACGGGAGGCAGCAGUGGGGAAGAUUGCACAAUGGGCGCAAGCCUGAUGCAGCGACGCCGCGUGAGGGAUGACGGCCUUCGGGUUGUAAACCUCUUUCAAUAGGGACGAAGCGAAAGUGACGGUACCUAUAGAAGAAGCACCGGCCAACUACGUG
RNAcentral lists this ribosomal RNA (462 nucleotides) under uncultured bacterium. RNAcentral describes it as "partial 16S ribosomal RNA". It matches the Rfam family "Bacterial small subunit ribosomal RNA", at positions 28 to 507 of the family's 1533-position model. The record is from RNAcentral.